GGGCAGGGCUGAUGCUCACCGCCCACCCGCUGCUCCCCUCAGUACAGCCCCCAGCAGUGCCACCAGCGUGUGCUCCCGAUGACUCAGGACGCUUCAUUUUGUCUGUUUUUCUCCCUCCUGACGUCAGCAGGUCGCUCUGUUAGCAGGGAUACAACCCUUACAACCCCCCCACAAUCAGGCCGUGCAUAGUCAGAAUAACGCAGUGCAUCUAUAUGGUGCUUUGCUUGUGCCUUCGGUUCCUGCUGAAGAAGCGCCGUAUUCCCUCUGAAAUAGCUCCACACUAUUUCUGUUCUGUUCUGUUGAAUGUUUAUCCCGGCAACGCAAAUAAUUCCUGUUCCAUAAGUACCCUGACAAACAAUGCAAUUUAUUACCGGGUACAUUAUGUUGUCUGUCUGUUUGAUGUAAAUGGUCUCUGAGAGUUAAAAUUAGACAAAGAGCCAUUUGAGACUGUUUUGUUCAUCUCCAGCUGUUGUGUUGUUUUUAACAGGAGCGCGUUAGUUUGAAGCAUUUCAUGGGCAAAAUACCUGCUUGUUUUUUCGGUGAUAAAAAUGAUCCACCAAGAGAAGCAUUGGUGCGUUGGCGCUUUUAAGGUGAUGGAGGCUUUACAUGUGGUGCAAUGGGGUGGCCUUGCCUUGCUGGGGUGCUGUGCUCACACCCUGCCCUGGGAGGGCCAACCUUCUAAGAUCCUUCCUGAAGAGCAUUGGAAACAAGUGUGGGAAGGUGAGCAUGGCUCACAAAGCCCUUUGAGCUAAAGCUUCUGAGAGUAAAAUACGAGGCUCUGUAAUAACUUUAUAAACAAAUGUGCCUGCUGUGACACCGUGUUGCAGUGCAGGGACAGCCAGGGCACCUGGUGAUGGGGGCACUCAGACUGUGCUUGGACUCAAACCAUCACAGCAAACCAGGUGUAGUGGGAAUGCUGGGUCACAGCCAGAAGUGGUGAUGGAGCAGCUGGUGGGAAGGCUGGGCCAGCACAGGGGAGCUCAGGUGCAUGCAAUGCAUCGGAGUGAUUAGAAGGGGAGGGGCCAGGAUCCGUCCCUUCCCAGACUUCAUUUAAGGGUUAUCAGAGGUGGUUUCCUGUCUACCUGAGGCUUUCCAAGGGUAAGUAGCUUUUUUCCUUUAUUUCUCUGGUUGUUUUGGUUGUAUUUGGGUUGUUUUCAUUUUGUUCAGCCAUAAGCUUUGCCAUCUUGCUGUUAUCACAGUACUUUCCAUCCCGUUACACCAUUAUACCAGGGAAUUGAAAACCUUAACACUCUAAACACAUCUGUUUACCAAAUAUUGUUGGUUAUAUCUUUUUGAAAUGAUGUCUAUCACAAAGAACAGAGAAGGCACGUUUACAGCUGGUUCUUUGCUUAUAAACAAAGUCCUGUACUAAGUUGUAUUCUCUUCCAAGGGACUUUUGCUCAAUGUAGGACAAGCAGAUGGUAGCACCGAUGUGAGCAAGCACACGUUGGUGCUGUAUGGUGAGGAAAAGAUAUUUUCUCUGAAAAGACGUGUGAUAAAUAAACUAGGCUGGUGGCUGGGAACGCUAGAAAACAGCGUGUGGUUGCAGGAGGUGGCUCCAAAUGCAGCUCUUUGGGCUCCUGGGCCACUGGCUUAUGUGCAGCCUAGCUAAGCAGUUAACAAAAUCAAUUGGUUGCUUUUGUUUACAUGGUGUCCUGUGGUAAAUAGAUUGGUGAUCCUCGCUCUGAGUUCAUUUGCUAAAUAACCACAUCACAGAACUGAGCACUGCUGUUGGCAUCCUAGCUGGCAGGCCCAGAGCCCUGCCCGAGGCUUCAUUGGUGAUGAAGAGCCCUCACUGCUCAGAGCAGAAAGGCAAGAAUGGCCUCACAGGACAGGUUUUCUUGUUGCAUCUGUCCUGCAGGGAAGUAGGUCUCGCUCUUUGUCUUGACCUUUAAAACAUCCUUCCAAAUCACUGCGAUUGAAUAAAAGACAGAUCUUGAAAGCCUGGAAGGAAAGGAGAACUGACAGAUAAAAUCAGUCUUCUGGGUCUGCUAUUGAAAUUCACAGGACGUGGUAUGGUUCUGUAAGGAGGCCAUGGGAACAGCGUGUUGCUUGUGGGUAAGUGUGUGAGUGUCUGUCUCAUCUUUCCAGAUUUAUAUUCGUAUUAAGCACUGUUGCUUGUUACUACGUUCAUAUAGUAGCCUGUUGUAAUUGUUGUGGGAUUUGACAGAGCGCUCUUGGAGAAAUGAAUUGCUAGCACUAUUAAGUAAAUGUGAAAAGAAUUGCUCUCUUCCCAGCAGCUCUUUAAUUCCUAAAAUUAAAUUCCAUCCCUGAUGCGCUCAACUACCUUCAUGAUUAAUGUCUGAGUUGUCAGAGCAGCUUGUCGAGCACUUGGAGAUUGAGGGAAGUUGUGAAGUUUCUGAUUAAGUUUCCUUAUGCUUUGUAAUCUCACUCUUGCAGUUGUUGGUGUACCUGCUGCCCGAGCCAAAGACAAGGCGUGUGGAAGUUUGGAGGCACCUCCUCUUCACGGUGCUCACCUGUAACCCGGUCCUUCACAUUAAUGCCCUGAGCAGAGUGAUCUGUGGUCAGCCUGUUCUGCUGUGGAGACCAGCUUGGGAGCAGUAAAGGGAGCAUCAGACUCACUGUGCCGGCUCAGAUGAAAGGAUGAACAAGCCUGGGCUCUCCUGUCUCUGGCAGCGGCCAGAAAGGCUUCAGGAAAGCACAGAAGAACAAAACAAAUAUCAAGUAAUUAUUUCCCUUCUCCAUCCUUCUCGCAGAGUGAGUCUUCUCAGUUCUGGCACUUCUGCUAAGGUAAGGAAGAGUAACUUAAUGCAGUGGCAAGGACAGGAGGGAGGUGCUGCCUUUGAAGCUCCUGUAAGGCAUGGGCUCUGGACAAGGGCAGGUCAGGUUAGGUCUGCUCCAAAUGAUGGAAGCAAAGGAGUAACUCUUGAGGGGAAAGAAAAAAAAAUAGCUUUUCUAAGCUUUCUGUUUUAGUACAGACAUGCUUGCAAGCACCACUUUCUGCUUCAAAGAAGUUCCAAGUACCAAACACACCUGAGGAUCUUGCCAGUUUCAUAAGCCAAAUCAGCUGCAGAAUAACGAGGUCAGAAACAACUCAGACACCUGGGAACACUUAUGAAGUGCUCCAGACUAAUCGCUGUUGCUCAAAGUGUCCAAAGGUCUGCAAACAUUUGAACAAUGUGUGUGAGCCAGACAGGUGUGGCUUGAGCAGCUUAGAUGCCAAGAGAAACCCAUCAGGCCAGAAUCCCUCACCUGCUUCUUCAUUUGUUCAAGCCAGGAUCACCCCAGAGACAAUCCUGUGCAGGAAGGUGAUGGAUGUCACAGCUCUACUGCUCCCUGUCCCAAGCACCCUGCCCACCCAGGGAACAGCAUCUCCCAGCCUGUGCUCCUAACCCGAUCGUGCACAGGCAUGGGCUGCUUGUAGAAUGCUUGUUUCAUAGAAAAGCAGGGUAUGGCUGUUUUUGAGAACUGAAUGCUUUUAAAGUGCUGUUAAGAGACUGAAACUUGUGGUGCUCAGAAUCGUUGGCCCUUGUUGUGUAGGCACAUGUUUCUCCUUGGUUGGUUUGACUUCCCAGCUGGGCAUUCGAGCUGGGUGUUACAUCACUUUCUUAUGCUAUGAGUCAUAGCUUUGAGAGACCAUGGCUGUGUCUGCUGAAAAUGGAAGCCUGGAACAUUUGCAGAAGAAUAGAGGAAAUAAAAGUAUUGUGGAGGGGCUAACUAACCAUCACACACGCAGAAAGGAGCAGCAAAAGCCCAGAGGUGGAGUUUCUUAGCUGCAGAGAUAACAUAGCCCAGGGCUCCUUCGGGAUCUGUCUCUGGGAAUCAGCACAGUGCGGGUGCGUCAUUUAGGGGGAAAAGCAGGAAGCAAGCUGAAUUGAAAGCAACAGUGCUAGAAUCCAUCAUGGUACAUUUCAGCUGGUUCUCUUUUGCUUUGGGAAGGCAAGGUUUAGAGACGCCCAGGCUAGCGUACCCUUUGUUGUUUUUUGGUACCUGCUAUCCUGUGGGCAUAGAUAGUAGCAAUUACCUUUGCUUAAGACCAGAGUUUGAGCAGGUGGAGGAAAAAUAGCACCGUGCGGGCUGAACACAGCGGUGUCCUGAUGCAGCAGAGGGGUGGGACACGUGUGGGGCCACCACGCUCUGUUUAUUCAAAGAGUAAUUAACCAUUAAGCUUUGAACUCUUACCCAUGUGGCUAAGGCACAGUAAGGAUGCUCAGGAGUAGAGGUGAGCACCAAACCAGCUCCACCAUCAGGCUGUGGCUGUGGGGCUGUGGUUGGCUGACCCAGGGGAUGAGCUUUCAGUGGGCAUGUGAGCCAGCAGCUCUGCUUCUAUGAGCCUGCUUGUGAAGAGGAGUUCCUCCCUUGUGGGAAAUACCAACGAGAUUCUAAUUUUUUGAUGGUUUUGAUGCAGAGCCUUCUGCAAACCCAGAUGCAGAACAGUAGCAUUGUAAAUACUGUGCUGUUAUUACUGUUAGUAGUAUGUUUCCAGCAUUAUGAACAGCCCAUGCAAACCUUGCAUGAUGCUCUGCUUAAGCGGUGCCCCCUGCACAGAGAUGCUUGCUCCUGUGAUGCUGCAAUACACGGUGCUUUCUGCUGCAAAGGCAGCAUUUUGUGCUUGCCCUGAACUGGCAUUUUCAGGAAAGAACAUUUUCAGUUCUUGGCUGAAAGAAUUCGUCUUCCUUGGGAGCUGUGUGUGUUCAGUGAAUUAGUAGCAGAACAUUAGACCAGAACCAGGUCUUCUAAUUAAUUGGCUUCAGAAGUGUGGUUAUUAUCACUAACUGCAUUUUAUUUAACAGCUUGUGAACUGCAGGGGAGUUGAACAGCACUUGGGGAACUAAGUUAUUCCACGUGUAAGACUUCGGCUUUUACAACUGGUCCCUUGUAUUGCCACAUCCUGGAAUAGGGAGGUGAGGCAGCGCAGUGCCAGUGAGGACAGGAUGUCAGCAAGCAGAACAUAAGGAGUCUUGGUUUGGCUGCCAGUCCUCCCAAGUGGGGUCUGCCUACAAACUCGGUGGCCUGGGGCUGUAUGUUGUUCCUUAAAGCUCGUAUGUUUCAUGCAACAAAAACUCCAUUCACUCCCUUAGUUAGAGUUGGUAGCACUAAUCCUGGCUGUUUGAUUGGGUUUAUUGUGGCUAUUGGGAGCAUAAAUGUGUUUACAGAUUUGUUGUGAAAGCAGUUUGGUCUGUUUUUUCACACAGCAAGUCAACUUCCAUGCGGUGCAGUUAUGUUCAAGAUGUUCCCUGUAGCACUGGAAUAAUGUCAGAUUACAUUGUGUGUGUGUAUUGUUCUACAGAAGGAUUUCAUCUGAGGCACAAUACACCAUGUCAGAUGAAGGGGAUCUUGGGCAUGCUAAGACCAAGACAAGAACUCUGUGAGGUCAGUGUGAAGCAAUGCUUGUCUCUGCUGAAAUGUGGAACUUGUUCCCCGUUACCUUCCCUCCUGCUCCCUCUAACCCUGCCGGUACCAAGUCCAUUCAUUCAUCCGCAGGUUUCCCUGCUUGCUGUGCAGCCCACCACAACCUUCUGGUGCUGGAAGUUGGCCUCAAAUAUUGAGAUGUUGCAGAGUUUCUUAGAUUUCAUUCAGUUUGUCAUUCAGUGUAGCUCAGCCUACAGGCUUCCCAAGUCCUUGAUGCAGUUGUGCUCAGCAAGGAAUCUUCAAAAGCCUGAGUGUUAUUUCUUAAUGAUGUGAUGGGGAGCAGGUGAAGCAGGUGGCUGGCACAGGGCUCCUGUGGAUGUCUGAGCAUCUGCAUCACCUGCAUGUGCUCUUGCUGGGAUGAAGGACCACACUGUAUCUAUUGUGGAUGGGACUUGUAGGUACUGGAGCCCCAGUUUGACAUCAGGGUUCUAUCACAUAGUGUUGCCCCAGGGAUGAAGUGGCCCCUAAUGCUCAUUGUUGAACUGCUGUGGGCUGUGUUUUUGCUUAGGUAACAAUGCCAUUUCCUGCCUCGUGGCAGUUCAGAUAUUAAAGGUCACAUCUGCCUAAUACUUUCAGUCUGAACUAUGACAAGCUUUCCCAGCACUUCUAAAGCAGACAGCUGUGGUAUGUUUCCCUUCUGAAUGAUAUUCAGAAACCAAAGUUUUUAUUAUUAUUGUUGCUACUGCUAGUAAGUCUUGUACAGGGAUUACUCAGAACAGCAGCACAAUAGUUCUGCCCAAGGAAGGGAGAGGUCAGGAUCUUCGGGUGCCAUCACUGCAAGCCUGCAGCCUCCUAUUCUGCAUCUCAGCAGCAGGUUUUCUUGUUCUGAGUUGCACCAAAGAACAAUUUCCAGGAACAGCUCUCUGCUGCUGUCUGUCCUUAUGACACCUCGCUGCCUGUGAGGAUGCUGCAGUCCUCAGCUGAAGCUGGCAGCGUGGAUAACAGUGCAGGUGUUUGCAAACUAGAAAGCUGUAUGCUGUUGUUCCAGGGACUGGGGAGAUGCACUUUGUGUUGGUGCUCAGGUGAUGAUGGAGCAGGAGAAAGGACGCACAGACUGAGGCUAAGCAGAAAGAGAACCCGUAUGGUAACUGAUGCUAGAAAUAAAUGCAAGGGACCUUUGGCAGUUGAGCUUUGGGUGCCUCCAUGCAGAUUCACGGCAGCUGAGAAUCUGUCCCUGGGAUCUGCAAGAGGCACUAUGUGGCUGUGGCCAUGUAUGGAAGCUUCAGGUAAUCUUUAUAACUGGUUAGUCAAAGAACUUUGAAGCUUUGUGCAAAUAUUUGAGAGCAUUCCCAAGACAGCAAUAACCUCUGUGCUCGUGCUUAACCGGGUGAUAUUUGCCAGGCUUUCUGGAACAGCUUCAGGUACUUUUUCAGAACAAAAUCACCUUUAACAAGCACAAAACAUACUUUGUGCUCUUCAUGCAAGCCCAGUGCCCAGACCAUUUUACACAACUCUGGUUUUUGCUACGCUUGAACACCGUUAAAAGCCUGAAAGCUGAGCCGUUUUAAAGCAUCCCAUAAGACUCUUGAGUCAUGCAAAAUCCUAUCACAUUUUUCCCUCUGGUUGAAAAGUUAUGAAUGACAAAAGUGCUAUUAAAUCAUAGAUGAAGAAUGCUGAGUGAUGGCUUAGUAAAAAUAAUUUUUAAAAACCCUUGUUUUCAUCUAGAUUUUAUUUCCCUGGGUGCAAAUUCAACAGGUAAGGCUGAAAUAUCACAGCUUGCCCCCCUAAAGGAGCAGUGUGCAGCUUGAUCCCUUGGAGAGUCGCUAUUCCUUUCCUUGGUUUCUUUAUUCCUCCAGGCAAGUGAUGAUUUUAAUACUUCGCCUUUAUCUGUCACAGUUCAUUUUCCCACCCUAUACCAACUCAACUUCUCAGGCAGGAAUGUUGGGGAUGGUGGACCAGUGCUUUCAUCUGUUCCCGAGCCUCCUGCUGACAAAACUGCACCUCUGUGAUCCCACCCAACCAGCUUCUGGCCCAGCUGCCCAGCCAGGUAGGCAGGAGUGGGGGGAAGCAAUAUGGUGUCUCCUGUAUGCUUGCAUCUACCAGUGCUGCUGACCCAGUACCACAAGGAUAACUGUAUCACAGAAUCACAGAAUGACCCGGGUUGGAAGGGACCUCAAGGAUCAUGUAGUUCCAACCCCCUGCCUAGCAGGGCCACCAAAUAUACACCUUUACUAGAUCAGGUUGCCCAGGGCCCCGUCCAACCUGGUCUUGAAUAUUUACUAGAGUAAAGCUACCUGGAACUACCGCUCGGUUCUGGAGGUAAGUGCUGCACUUCCAUUCUGUUUUUCCAUGUUUACUUGUUAUUACAGUUUUAAUCAUUGGGAUGCUUCUCUUGUUAGUUUCUUUACCCUGAAACGCAGUGGUCCAACUUGCCAGAUGUUGCAUUCUUUGUUGACCAGGAGUUUCUGAAUGCCAAGGAAUCGGAUGGAAAUGAUCUGCAGGGGGUUUUGUUACCACAAGCCAUAAACACAUUGAAUCAGAAAGAGAAGCCUCACUUUCUAUUUCAGUCACCAUUUUUGGAGCACGUAAACAUUCUAUGAUUCAGAUUUCUGAUGAUUUCUCAUGCUGCAUUUUUUGGGUUCCACACUGGGUUCUUCUGUUUGUUUUUCCUUUUAAAGGGACUUCUGAAGGUGGAAAAUGAAUGGUGUUAACCUGAUGAGCUAGGUCUUGUCGGUACUGUAAGUAGGUCUGGCAGUGGAAAAGGCUUCUGGAGCAAGCAAAAAAUUGCUCUUAUUCAGCUAAAUACACUGAAAGCAGAAAGGGCUGUAGGGGAAGUGAACCUAGCAGCUAUCCAUGUAUUACUCAAACGAGACCACGUGCAUUCUGCUUUGUUUCUCAGCAGUCCCCACUGAGAAGGUUAUGUGUACAUCUUACUUCAACACUUGGACAUGACCUUUCCCACCCAUGUCAGACUCAUGUGGAGCAAGCCACAGGCCUGUCACAGAGCCCUGAGCCUCAUGUGCUUGUCCCAGCCACCAGGUGCUUUCUGAUAGACACGCAGAGGUCAAAUAAAUGAUAUCUCACUUUUGGACAGAAAGAGAGACCUGUCAUAAUGGUGCUGGGCUUAAAGACCUGCAGAGCAAAAGCUUUACUAAGCUGUAUGGCUGAGUUGUUUCCUUCUUGGUCAUCCAUGGAAAAAACCUAAUUGGAAGAUGAGAAGCUGCCCACUUUAGGAUCAUAUAUGAAUAAUUAUAGGUACCCGUACUAGCAAGGGACUUUCUGAGAUCAGUAAAUAGUUAUGCCUCUUCAGGGAAUCUGUGGCAAACAGGUCAUUCAGAAAUAACUCUUGGAGGCAAUGGGAAGUGGGUGAAAUGAAGUAACAAACAGCUACUGAAAAAAACAGCUGAUGGGAGUGUUUCAUCUGCUAUCACUAACUGUUAGUUUUCAUUCUGACCCUGUUGUUUUCUUCUUUAUAUAGUGCCCUGAAGUUGUCUCAGAAGGAUAUUAAUUUUCUGCUGGCAUCAGAAAGGUUGAAAUGAUACUUGGAAUGAGGGUAAGUGACUCCCUUGAGGUUUUGGCACCCACAGCUCUGGAUUAACUGGAAACGCAGGCAAUUAAUAAACCAGAAAUUCAGUGCCUCUCGGCCCUCCUUGCUCGAGGGAAGCCAACAGGACCUUUGUCGGUAGGAUCAGAACAAGGCCACAGUGUGCCCCUUAAGGGACGUGCAUGUAGGUAAGCUAUGCCAUCUAGAAUAAAUGCUGGCUCAUAAGAGUUCUGAUCAAGGUCUGAACUAGACUGAAGCAGAAACCACUGAAUGAGAACUGGGAUCCCCCACAGACAGGGAGGGGGCUUCAGCCACAAUGGCAGGGCUGCCACAGCCACGUGGUGCUGAGUGAAACUUCUCAGCAACCGGAAAACACGCUGGUUCUUGCUGUUGGAGAUGUAAGGCCAUCUGAGUUGGUAAUGUUGAAGACAUCAGAACUUAUUCCUUGUGAAGCCUGGGUGGUAACUGGUAGUGAAGGCCAUAACAGCCAUAGUCUUUGGUAUGAUGUAAACUCUGUGAAAUCUACCUGAUUCCAGCUCAUCUGGAAGUGAUAACAUCACUAAGUGCUGGGAUAGGGACUGAAAGCCACGUGCUGUAAGCCAGGCUGAUUCCCAGGGUCCUCUUAAAGUUUCCAUGCUGUUUGGGAGUAGGUCAUGAGGUCUGUGGCACUUGUCACCAUUACUUUACCUUUCUUUUUUGUGUUUGUGCAGAGGACCAUUUGCAAUGUGAAAUAGUGCUUGAAGUUGCCAAAAAAAGCCUACCAAACACCCUGUUACUUGGAUGAAAGAGCUCUUUAGAAGAUGGACAAACAGACUCGGGGGGGCAAAAGAGUAAUGCCAACCAACUGCCACACAGGCACAUACGGGAGUCCCUGGCCCUGCGAAUUUGAGCAUUUUAAUCUUUUCUGGUGUCCCACGCCUGUCCUGUCACCUACUGUUGUUGCAGUUAAGUGCAUUCUUUAGCCAGGUCUUCUCCUAGUAUUUAGGGCAAUUGGAUUUACAGGAAGCAAGAAAAUACACUGAUAAACAGCAGCGUGCGUCUGGGGAUAAUGUCAGCACUACCACCAGAGUCUCGCUAUUCCCUUGGCGUUAUCAUUGCUGGAUCCUCUGCCCUUCCUUACACGUGGGCUUGAGGAGGUGGUUGUUUUGGCUGGAAUUAGAGAGGCACAGGUGGUAUCACCAGCUGUAAAUCGGAGGAGGCACUUCCUGAUUAUGACCACUGCCUACACAUAAGUAGCUGCCAAGAGAGGAGCUGGGAAGCAUAGAAGCCUUCUCCUUACUUGGAAAGAGGGCCUCAAGUGUAGGCAUAACAUAAUUACCCUCUUCUGUGUUGGGUUUUUUUUUUCCACUUAGAGGCUUUGGGGUUCUUUGUGGGCUCUUGGCUUCCCAGAAUGCUGUGAUAUGAAAAACCCUCAGCUGAGUUUGACAGAUGGGUAAACCAAAGCAUUGAGUACUUAAGCAUCUAACACUAGGGCACUCAAAUCCUCAUAAAGGCACUGGGAGCUCAGGAGACACACGCGCAGGAGGCAUUUGAGAGCCAGGACUUGAUCAAAGAUUCAGGUAUUUGUUCGACCGCAGCCAAAUGUCAUCUCCUUCAAGUGGUGAAUGAGCCCUUGAUCUCUGUGAGGUCAAGAUUUUUGCCUUCUGGCUGUAUAUGUUUGUGGUAAGAGACCUGUCCAAAGCUGCAGCGAGCGCUAAGGCUCGGGUGAGGAGUUUGGAUGCUGUUUUUGGAGAGCACUGCUGGCUGGCUGUAGACAGACUGCCACAGUCCUGCUCUCAUGUGGUAGCAGACACACAUGGGCAUAGCUGUAUUUUACUGUCAGGUUAAAGUGUUUUUUUUCCCCAGUUAUUGUCUAGUGCUCAUUUCUCUACCCAUUCACCUGUGCUGCUGGCCCUGACUUGCCUUGUCUGCAGGAAACUUGGGGUGUUGAGUCUCCUCAUCAACCCAUUGAUUGGGGUGAGCGUGCAGCCCCUUGCUGGCUCAUGGUCUCGCUUUCAGGGUAUUUCUUCCCUUUUAGCCCAAAGCGUCUUAAAUGUGGGUCCACUGAGCGUACAGAUGGGAGAGCAGGGAGUGAGGGAGAGGUGUCGCAGAAUCAACCCACCAACGUGUGCUGCUCACCCACGCACAUGGGGAGAGGGGGAGAUUAAAAGAUUAAAGUUACAAACUGAAAAGCGCCCCAGGCUACCGCUGAGAUCUGAGUGACUGCCUGCGAAGCCAAACUCCCACUCCGGAGGUGCCGUGCCACGCUCGCUGUCACUCACUCCGCACUUGCUUUCUCCUGCCAUCCCUUCCUGCCACUGGCUUUGCUAUUUUUACAGGCUGAAAAAUUAAGUCAUCCUCUGGUUGGGCCCUGAGCAUCUCCCGGUCGUCAUUGUGGGGCUCACGGGCGUAGUCUUCUGCUCCAUCAUUGCGCUCCUUUACUUCUAGGCCUUGAAGACUCCUCCAUCAUCUUUCUGCUUUGCCUCAUUUGCCCGUAUCACAGCCAGGUUUGGUUCAGAUACAGCUCAGGACUGGUGUGGGAGGGACAACCAUUUGCAGCAGUUAGGAUUUCGGCAGUGAGGAAGUUUGUAAGGUCUUCAGUGCUUUCUCGCCCCUAUGGAGAGGUGUGAAUCAGGACUUACUCUGCCAAGCUUACCAUUAAAUAUGUCCACAGUUUUAUACUCCUUCCUGACAUUUGCUAAGAUUUUCUCACUUUCUUUGCUUUCCGUUCAUUAGAACUGGGCCAAGACUGUGGCUUUAUGGCUGGAAGGCACAUAAGUAAAACUAAGGUCUGGGAGCUCCAGAAGAGUUCUUAGUGCUGUGCUUGUGUUGGUAGGUACGAUGCAAAAUGAAACAGGGUUAUUUUGAUUUGAUUGUAGCAGUUAAGCUGAGCCAAGGCGAUGAUUUCAUUCUCGGAGUAUUGAGCUCUAGAAGUAUUUCUUUAUCCCACUGUGUUAUCUGUGACUGUAUUUGAGUUUGGGGGUACCUGUUCUCACAAACAGGCUGUUUCUAAGGGGAAAGAAAGAAAAGAAAAAGGGUUGGCUCUGCAUUUGGAAAACGUUGAAACAGUUCAUUUUGACAUCUCCCAAGUUGUUCUUCCUCCCUGUGCUGUUCAGAUGGAGGUAUUCCUCAGAUGCCGGCUGAGAUUGUGAAUGUGUUUGGUUCCCUUAGGGUUCCUUAUUUAAUCUGGUUUCUCAGCUAUCAGCUAUGCUGCCCAGCUCUGCCAUUGUGUGGAGGUGACAAAGGAGCAGCGGGACCUUCGCCCUCCUGCAUGAACUGGUGCUUGUUGCACAUGAGAUGGUGGGACAGUCCUGCUCCUAGCUUGAUUUUAGGGCUGAGGACAGUGGGAAACCUGCAGAUCAGGACACGUUUGGGUGAUUCGUACCUGCCCUUAGAUACCAGCAUUUCUUCUGGUGUGACUGGUUUCUCUCAUCUGCUGCCAAUGGUCUUGUCAGGGCAAACGUGCUGAGCUGAUGGGGUGCCCUGGUAGGGGCAGCUGCGAGUAGAGCUUUACAACCCUGCUGCCAGAAUUAAUAAGAAAUUGGAUGCUGGCCCGUGAAACAGGAAUGCAACUACUGAUGUGAAGGAGUCAGUUUCCCUUUCUGCCCCAAGGAAAAACUGACUGUAUGUAGACAUACAAGGACUUGGCUAUGUGAACAUAAAUUUAUGUGCAGUUACUGGAAAUGGCUUCUGUCCACCUCCCUUCUUGUGCCAGAUCAGCACUGUGUCAGGCAGGUCACUUUUGCAUCAGGAUCAUCAGCCUGCUGGGAGGGAGCUUCACCAUCUGAGUGCUCACUGUCUCAUACUCUCUCCAGCAGCUCACCCAGCCCUUUGCCUUCAGGAGCUCGGACUGCUUGGGCCUGUGCCGCAGCAAGCUCUGUGCUUCCCAAGGGAUGCAUAGUUCUUGGUAAGCAUCUGACUGUAGCAGGCACGGCUAAGAUACCAUGUUGGGCACGAUUCAAUGGAGUCAUUUCCACAUUCGUUCCCCUUCUGAUGACAGCUCAAUGAGAAAUGUUUGCAAGGUCUUGCUUUAUGCACCGCAUGCUUGCACAGGUUUUGGUCUGUGAUGAAUCUGUGCCCUCCAAUGAAUUACAAGCGGUGUGCUAUUUUAUUUACAUAGGAUUAAUCUAAUUCAAAUGACUGGAUGAAAUCCUUUCAUCUUCAGGGCACAGGAGGUCAGAAUAUGAUGAUUUUAUACAGCUGCUCCAGGCCAUAAAAUCUGUUCAUUUGACAAUCAAUAGGAAGAUAUCACUCACAAUGUUGAUGAGGUAAUUUCCUCCUCUGCUCUCACCUUGUCUUCCUGGUUCACACUCUCCUGUCAAGGUGAGAAGUCCUGAAGUUCUGCUCUGGAGCACAACCUGCCCCCACUGACUGCUGCACACUGCUGCACACAUUUCUUAGUUCCCACCCCAGGUUUCUUCUGUCUCCAUUGCCCAUGAUCUCAGUUGUCACAUAUUAGAAUUCCUUUUACUUUGAAGCCACUCUCUGAUUUACAUGCUCCAAGCAUCCAAGUUCUCUUCUUAUUCUAACCGUGCGCUCAAUCACGUGGUGCCAAAAAAAACCCCAUUCUGGUUUAUAUUAGUUCUUUGCUGCAUUGCCCAACUUCAUAUAUGUACCGUAUAGGAGACAGCAGGCCUUCCAGGGCAUGGUCUGUGACAGGUCACCUACACUGUGUUGAAUACUGAGAGUAUUUAUUGUGCUUAAGAGUGAUUCUGGGCACUCCAGCAGCAGCUCAGCAAGUGCUUCAUUGAGGAAGUCAAGUCUAUCCUGAUUUCCAAAUGGAGAAGAGCAGGAGGUGAGAUAACCUGCGUGGUGUCAGCCUGCUGGCAGAGCAGGGCCAGGAACGGUGUGUGGCCACCUCUGGGCCUGGCCUUGCACUCCAGCCACAGCACCCUGCUCAAUAAUACACCAAAUAAAGAAGCACUUAUGUAAUGCAUUUUUGCCUUCUUGGUUAAUAGCAAACAGUUUGAGGGUUUUCCUUCCAG
Coturnix japonica (Japanese quail) is the source of this 13821-nucleotide non-coding RNA. Lineage: Eukaryota; Metazoa; Chordata; Aves; Galliformes; Phasianidae. The record is from RefSeq and is a predicted model, not a curated record.